UUCAAGACGUCAAGAAGCUGGACACCCUCCA
RNAcentral lists this non-coding RNA (31 nucleotides) under Homo sapiens (human). Lineage: Eukaryota; Metazoa; Chordata; Mammalia; Primates; Hominidae. The record is from RNAcentral.